RNAcentral lists this ribosomal RNA (460 nucleotides) under uncultured bacterium. RNAcentral's name for it is "partial 16S ribosomal RNA". It matches the Rfam family "Bacterial small subunit ribosomal RNA", at positions 338 to 795 of the family's 1533-position model. The record is from RNAcentral.
CCUACGGGAGGCAGCAGUGGGGAAUAUUGCACAAUGGGCGCGAGCCUGAACCAGCCAAGUCGCGUGAGGGAGGACGGCCCUACGGGUUGUAAACCUCUUUUGCCGGGGAGCAACGGGCGUCACGUGUGGCGCCACUGAGAGUACCCGGAGAAAAAGCAUCGGCUAACUCCGUGCCAGCAGCCGCGGUAAUACGGGGGAUGCGAGCGUUAUCCGGAUUUAUGGGGUUUAAAGGGUGCGUAGGCGGAUCGUGAAGUUAGUGGUCAAAUUGAGGGGCUCAACCCCUUCCCGCCAUUGAAACUGGCGUUCUUGAGUGGAAGAGAAGUAUGCGGAAUGCGUGGUGUAGCGGUGAGAUGCAUAGAUAUCACGCAGAACCCCGAUUGCGAAGGCAGCAUGCCGGCUUCCGACUGACGCUGAAGCACGAAAGCGUGGGGAUCGAACAGGAUUAGAUACCCGGGUAGUC